Molecule: ribosomal RNA, 502 nt
Filed under: uncultured bacterium
Lineage: Bacteria
Description: bacterial SSU rRNA
Rfam family: Bacterial small subunit ribosomal RNA
Source: RNAcentral
AGAGUUUGAUCCUGGCUCAGAACGAACGUUGGCGGCGUGGAUUAGGCAUGCAAGUCGAACGAAUCCCGGGGCAACCUGGGGGAAGUGGCGAAAGGGGCAGUAAGGCGUGGGUAACCUACCCUGGGGACGGGGAUAGCCUUCCUAACGGAAGGGUAAUACCUGGCGACAUGGUUGACCGGCAUCGGUCGUCCAUCAAAGGAAUUUCGCCCCUGGAGGGGCCCACGUGAUAUUAGCUUGUUGGCGGGGUAACGGCCCACCAAGGCGAAGAUGUCUAGCAGGUGUGAGAGCACGACCUGCGCCACUGGCACUGAGACACUGGCCAGACUCCUACGGGAGGCUGCAGUCGAGGAUCUUCGGCAAUGGGCGCAAGCCUGACCGAGCGACGCCGCGUGCGCGAUGAAGGCCUUCGGGUUGUAAAGCGCUGUCGAGGGGGAGAAAAGGAAACUUGAUCGACCCCUGGAGGAAGCACGGGCUAAGUUCGUGCCAGCAGCCGCGGUAAUUC